This 645-nucleotide long non-coding RNA is filed under the name Ananas comosus (pineapple). RNAcentral's name for it is "long non-coding RNA (ACOM_LNC024165)". The record is from RNAcentral. Lineage: Eukaryota; Viridiplantae; Streptophyta; Magnoliopsida; Poales; Bromeliaceae.
GAGACCAAUGUGCAAUUAAUUCUUAAAAAAAAUUUGUAUAUGGGCCCACAACCCCAAAAAUAAGGUUGGCCUUCUUUGGGUUCCCAAUUAGUAUAUUUAUUUAUUUAUUUAUAAAUUGUACAGUCUAAAAAUAAAGUUUAUAGUUUAUUCAUACUAAUAUUCUAUUAUUCUUUAGGACAUGUUUGUUUAUGAUUGUAAUAGAAAUGAGAAAUUAAAUUGGAUGGCCUUAAAAUGGGAAAUAGAAUAAUUAAUUUACCAAAAAUGUUUGAUUCAUUAUUUGAAAUGAAAAUUUAGAAUAUUGAGGAAGAGUUUCGGUUAAGAGAUAGAAAAGUGGUGAAAGGAGAGAAGGGGGAGGUAUUUAUAAGAGAGGAUUUUGAGCAGUUUACUGUUGAAUGGAUUAAUUUGUUAUUCAAAGCGGAUUGAGUUUCAAAUAGAUUUAGCUAUUCCCAUUUCAAAAUAGAGAAGAAUCAGAAUUCAAUUACUAUAAAAUAAAUAACAAAUAUCAAAAUUAAUGAAUCUCAUUCUAAUUUUAUAAUUUAAAAUAGAUAAAUUAAAUAUGUCCUUAAUAUUAAAAAUUUAAAAAAAAAUAAGUUUUAAACAUAUGGGCACCUUUUAUUCCACCUAUAACAUCGGAACCAAACAUGA